This is a long non-coding RNA of Carassius auratus (goldfish), 834 nucleotides long. RefSeq lists it as uncharacterized. NCBI's taxonomy places the organism in Eukaryota, Metazoa, Chordata, Actinopteri, Cypriniformes, Cyprinidae. The record is from RefSeq and is a predicted model, not a curated record. The transcript has 2 exons.
GUUGUGUAUCACGUCUACUGGCUGAGACCACAAGUGAGGUGUUCAGUUAUAAAGGUUUUACUGACACCAAUAACGAUUUUAUGACAACUGAUCUUUUGUCUAAAUGACAAUCUUUGUGGAUGUGGUUGUAGUUAUUAUCUGGCUAAUAACAAGAAGCUUUGAGUGAGAGCUAGUAGUUACAGUUUAGCUGCUACACAGCAAUAUCACAUCAGUGUUAGAGACAGAACUGCUCUUUCUUUUCAAUAGAACUGAAGUUACACAUGAUUUCCAAUCGGUUUGGUUUGUUAAAAUCAUCUUACAUUAUGAUACAGGACAUUGCUGGCUUUACAGGAGAAGAUGCCAGACUUUUGUGCAGUCUACAGAUUCUCCAAUCGCCGUCGUCUCAAAACGAGAGCCCGUGGAUCACCUUUCACCUGAGCGAGGACUUUGACAGAACGGGGCACAAUGUCCAGAUUAAAGAUGCUGUUGUGCCAAACAUUUUUAACUUUCCAGCUCAUCUUCAAAUGGUCUGUGUAUCACUGACCAACAAUAAUUCAAGCUGUAUAAGAUUGAUAUAUCAAUGUGUGAUUAAAUGUCACUUUAGUGUUUGUUUCUGCACCACAUCGCUAAAAUGACUAACCUUACCUUCCAGAGCAACAACAUGCGACAGAAGCUCAAUAAAACCGUCCUUUUCAAAGAGCAUUAGCCCUUUUUAUCUCUGUCCUUCACAGUAGUGUAGUUCUCUCUACAGGGAGGGAUUUCAACAUGCAGCAUUUCUUUAUGUAUAUUUGUAAAGGGGAAUCUUGUACCUAUUUUUAUUUGCAAAUAAAUAUAACUUUUAUAAUAGUUUAUAAA